CGCGUAGGCGGUUUGUUAAGUCGGAUGUGAAAGCCCUGGGCUCAACCUGGGAACUGCAUUCGAUACUGGCCGACUAGAGUACGAGAGAGGGAGGUAGAAUUCCACGUGUAGCGGUGAAAUGCGUAGAUAUGUGGAGGAAUACCGGUGGCGAAGGCGGCCUCCUGGCUCGAUACUGACGCUGAGGUGCGAAGGCGUGGGGAGCAAACAGGAUUAGAUACCCUGGUAGUCC
Molecule: ribosomal RNA, 229 nt
Filed under: uncultured bacterium
Lineage: Bacteria
Description: partial 16S ribosomal RNA
Rfam family: Bacterial small subunit ribosomal RNA
Source: RNAcentral